RNAcentral lists this ribosomal RNA (309 nucleotides) under Salmonella enterica subsp. enterica serovar Heidelberg. Its description in RNAcentral is "bacterial SSU rRNA". It matches the Rfam family "Bacterial small subunit ribosomal RNA", at positions 1 to 304 of the family's 1533-position model. The record is from RNAcentral. Lineage: Bacteria; Pseudomonadati; Pseudomonadota; Gammaproteobacteria; Enterobacterales; Enterobacteriaceae.
UUAAAUUGAAGAGUUUGAUCAUGGCUCAGAUUGAACGCUGGCGGCAGGCCUAACACAUGCAAGUCGAACGGUAACAGGAAGCAGCUUGCUGCUUUGCUGACGAGUGGCGGACGGGUGAGUAAUGUCUGGGAAACUGCCUGAUGGAGGGGGAUAACUACUGGAAACGGUGGCUAAUACCGCAUAACGUCGCAAGACCAAAGAGGGGGACCUUCGGGCCUCUUGCCAUCAGAUGUGCCCAGAUGGGAUUAGCUUGUUGGUGAGGUAACGGCUCACCAAGGCGACGAUCCCUAGCUGGUAUGAGAGGAUGAC